AUAAAAUAUUAUUUUAUUUGCCACGUGUCAGACAUUUGGCAGCCACGUCAGCAUUUAACAUAUCCAUGGAUGGAAAAUGUAACGGUUGUAUGAAAUUGAAAUAAAAUAAUACUUGAGGUAUGAAAGUGAAAUGUUUUAAAGAUGUUGUAUAAGAUUGUAAUAAACCUCAAACCUGAGGGGCUACUAUGUAAUUUACCCAAGAGAAAAAUAAGCAUGGUUAAGCAUGCUUGAGCCCCCAACCCUACUCUAAUUUUUUGCCAGUAAUCAAAUCCAAUAGCACAACACGUGAUAUUAUCCAGCGGACUCCAGAGGUGUAGUAUAUGGAUUUCGAAUUAUACAAAAAGGAAAGACAAACUGAAGCAAAGACACCCAACUCAAUAUACAAACUGAUCCUAAUAUUUUAAGCCUUAAAACCUCCAUGUUGUUAGGUUCUUCAUUUAUUUCCAGUUACCUUUUAUAUAUAAUUACUUUUUAUCUGUUUAUCGCUAUGCUACAAGUCUUUUAGACUACCUUCAACACUUGAGUUAAACUUAAUUUUGUUAACCCAGAAAAUUUAGAUUUUAACUCAGAAAUAGUUUUUUACUCUAAUGGUUCUGGGUAAACAUUUUAGGCCUAGAUUAUUUAUUAAUGAAUUUAGGCUAAAUUUUUUUUGGGUAACUUUUUAAAAAUAAAAUUUAUGUAGAAUAUCAUAAUUGUUGCAGUCAUAUUUAGAAUAGGAAUGUGAUUCUAUAAAUCCUAGGAAAUCUGGGAAUGUAUCUUAUAUUCCUAUUAGGAUUAGAUUACCUAUUAAAUAUUGUAAUCCUAAAGGGAAAUGUUUUACCCUUCCUAUUACUAUAAAUAAAGGCACAAUGGGGUGAAUCAAACACAGCUCACAAUUAAAUCAAUCUCUCUUCUUUCUAAUAGUGGUUGGCCCCCUCUCUCGCUCUCUAAACCCUAGAUCGUUCAAUCAAAUAGGCCUACA
This 961-nucleotide long non-coding RNA is filed under the name Malus domestica (apple). RNAcentral's name for it is "long non-coding RNA (MDOM_LNC011090)". The record is from RNAcentral. Lineage: Eukaryota; Viridiplantae; Streptophyta; Magnoliopsida; Rosales; Rosaceae.